AAAAAAAAUCAUUUAUCCGGGAAUUUGUAUUCAAAUCGCUCUCUAAAUAAAUAAAUAAAACAUUUUUUUAUAUAAUAAACUAAGC
Molecule: unclassified non-coding RNA, 85 nt
Filed under: soil metagenome
Description: partial internal transcribed spacer 1
Source: RNAcentral